GAUGAGAACGUAGCGAAAUGCGAUAAGUAGUGUGAAUUGCAGAAUUCAGUGAAUCAUCGAAUCUUUGAACGCACAUUGCGCCCUUUGGUAUUCCAAAGGGCAUGCCUGUUCGAGCGUCAUUUGUACCCUCAAGCUUUGCUUGGUGUUGGGCGUCUUGUCUCUAGCUUUGCUGGAGACUCGCCUUAAAGUAAUUGGCAGCCGGCCUACUGGUUUCGGAGCGCAGCACAAGUCGCACUCUCUAUCAGCAAAGGUCUAGCAUCCAUUAAGCCUUUUUUUCAACUUUUGACCUCGGAUCAGGUAGGGAUACCCGCUGAACUUAAGCAUAUCAAUAAGCGGAGGA
This 340-nucleotide unclassified non-coding RNA is filed under the name soil metagenome. RNAcentral's name for it is "partial contains 5.8S ribosomal RNA, internal transcribed spacer 2, and large subunit ribosomal RNA". The stretch from base 5 to 119 matches the Rfam family "5.8S ribosomal RNA", at positions 40 to 154 of the family's 154-position model. The record is from RNAcentral.